RNAcentral lists this small nucleolar RNA (81 nucleotides) under Pectinophora gossypiella (pink bollworm). RNAcentral describes it as "small nucleolar RNA snR60/Z15/Z230/Z193/J17". It matches the Rfam family "Small nucleolar RNA snR60/Z15/Z230/Z193/J17". From Rfam's summary of the family: The members of this family belong to the C/D class of snoRNAs which contain the C (UGAUGA) and D (CUGA) box motifs. Most of the members of the box C/D family function in directing site-specific 2'-O-methylation of substrate RNAs. The family includes the yeast snoRNA snR60 (also known as Z15) and the corresponding human guide snoRNA U80 (SNORD80). The record is from RNAcentral. Lineage: Eukaryota; Metazoa; Arthropoda; Insecta; Lepidoptera; Gelechiidae.
AUCUGAAUGAUGACUUCAUAGUUCAUCUGAACACAUUGAUGCAUACUAGCUUAUGUCUUUCGCUCCUAUCUGAUGCCAUUC